UCCUUGGACAAAAGUAGCAAUCGCAACCUUUAUCUCUAUGCUCUUAGAUGGUGGAAAGAAGCGAGCAAGAAAUUUGUGUUCCACAUCCUCCCAACUAGUCAAACUUUGAUUAGGCUGUGACUGAAGUCAAGCCUUUGCUUUGCCAUUCAGAGAAAAUGGGAAGAGUCUCAUAUACAAUGCUUCUUCCUCCUCCCCCAUUACACCCACAGAGCCACACAAUUCAUAGAAAGUGACCAAAUGAGCAUGAGGGUCUUCAUUAUCCAUGCC
Molecule: long non-coding RNA, 267 nt
Filed under: Vigna radiata
Lineage: Eukaryota; Viridiplantae; Streptophyta; Magnoliopsida; Fabales; Fabaceae
Description: long non-coding RNA (VRAD_LNC008309)
Source: RNAcentral